This 2989-nucleotide long non-coding RNA is filed under the name Triticum aestivum (bread wheat). RNAcentral describes it as "long non-coding RNA (TAES_LNC023975)". The stretch from base 2061 to 2147 matches the Rfam family "MIR1120/MIR1122 microRNA precursor family". Lineage: Eukaryota; Viridiplantae; Streptophyta; Magnoliopsida; Poales; Poaceae. The record is from RNAcentral.
UAAACGAUUUUAGGAGCAUCAAAGUUUGUCCUACAAUAUCUCUAUGUGGUAUCCAGCUUAGCAAUUUUUCAUAUUUUAGAUAAAAUGGAAUUGACCUUCGGUUAAUGCUUAGAGAAUUCACCAAAAGUAGUGAUAGGAUUUAUAAUCGACUUAAAUGAGAUUUCCGUUUUACGCUCUUCAAUUCAUAUUUCAUAUAUAUGGAGCCGCUCGCCACUGGAGCCGCGGGUCGCCGCUGGAGCCGGAGCCGCCCGCCCCGCAACGCCGCCACGGGGUUGGAUCGUAUGGUGCUGUACUGGUGGCCCUGGAGACAUACAAGAUCGAUGAGGUAACAUGUCGUUCAAGUUUCAGUACGACAAUUUGAUUGAUCUAGGCUAUGACUGUUCAAAGGUCAUGAAUCUGGUAAUGUCAUAUGCAUGCAUGUGUAUUAACUGUUUGUGUUGGGUAUCUUCAGAGAUGCUCAGAACAUCCAUAUAUACAUGUGUACGAUGACUAUGCCGCAGAGGACGAUGAGCAUGAGGAGAAGCUGAAGAAGGAAACGUUUAUGUUGUUCUUCUUAGCUACAUGCAUGAGCUCUCGCCUUUUUGAUUCGUAGAAUGAUGAACUGACCACGAUGAGCUCACGCUGCUUUGAUUUGUAGAUUGCCGACUUCCUCACAUAUUAUGGUUCGUAGGUUGCUGAAUGACCCUUUUUGUUGCUUGCGCCUUAAUUCGGUAAUCCAUCUACUAGCCUUUUGUUGAACAACACAAGUGAAAUGUAUGCAAGUACACAAUUUAUUUUAGAUUCGAAAGGCACUUAAGAGUUAAGACACUAGCUAUAAGCCUACCAACAAGGGGAAUGUCUAUGUGUCUGUGUGUAGUGUUCUUCUAAUCGGUGGGGGUUAUAAAGUGUGGCUGCAGGCAUUUAAUUAAGCACAAUCCUGUUGUGGCAAAGGAGGAACCGGGUUUACCUCCAAUGAAGAGAAGCAUUGUUAGCUAAUUCCGCAUCUUUAUCGAGUGGGUUAUUGUAUUGGGAGCCGUCAGUGCUUAUUGUGGUGUCAUAUACCAAAAUUUGUUUUUAGUUCAUCAGUUCAGUCCAAUCUUGCAGAACAAAUACAAAUAAAGUGCAUAGAAAUAUUGCAUUUGAUAGAAUUUAUAUGAUGUUUCAAGGAACCACGUUCUGCACUCUAUGUUGUUAUGUUGAAUGGAAGCAACAACGACACCGGGGAAACAUGAGUUUAUCAUUCAAAAGAGGUCUCUGAAAUUUUAGAGGGUUGUGGUAUAUGAAUCAUUGCUGGAUAAGGAAAGGAGUGGGGGAGGAUCUGCAAGUGUGUAGUGUAGAACUUUAUUGAUGUAGGCGUUGAUUUUCAUUUGUAAGAUUCUGUAUUGUUCUUUACCCAUCUGCUCCUGGAACUGCCUACUAAUUAUGAUUUGUUGAAGUCUCAUGCAGACAUUAUACGAUGGAUUUAUAUGGCUACCUGACUAGGUAAAAGAGCUAUAUAUUUUAGUGUUUCUAAUUCAGAUAAUCUAUUUCUUAUGGACCUAUGAAACCUUAAUGUUAAUUCACAAAGCUCGGUCUUGCAAGAAAACAAAAAGCAGCAUAGCUGCGAGAAGAUAACAUAUAUCUUGUUUACUUUGUUGUAAUUUGUGUGCUAACUUGGUCAGAAUUUUCCUAUUUUGUAGUUUAUGAAAAUUCUUUAUCAUGUUGUAGCCAAGAUUUGCAAAAUGUUCAUCAAAUUUAUGGUUUGUAUUUCUGCCUAAUAUAAGAACUCUAUUUCCCUGUUCAUCCAACUCUGCCCUUUUGAUUGCAGUUCUUUCCUACACAUACAGCUGAAACUUACAAUUUGUACUCUUGGCUGAUGCAACAGAUUAAGGAUUAAACUCAUGGCAUCUAAAAAAUUAGCUUGAACUGUAAAAAGAUCUAAAAACAGACUCUGAAUGUCCAGUCAAAAGUGACUGACUUUGAUAAACAUUGAUAAUGACAUUUUGAUCUAAAAAGUGGGCAGCUGAUUUGCUAAUUAACUGACUCUGAACGUCCCAUAAAAAAUAACUCCAAACGUCUAACUUUUAUUAUGUUGGUGCUUAAUACUCCCUCCGUAAACUAAUAUAAGAGCGUUUAGAUCACUAUUUUAAUGAUCUAAACACUCUUAUAUUAGUUUACAGAGGGAGUACUAGGAUGCUGGUGUCUGCAUAUGAGCUGAUGUUCGGGAAGCCAUCCCUCCACAGACUCUUUGAGGGCUACUUCGAUCAAGCCGGGAGGGUGAACGCAAGGGGUCAUGUUGAAGAUGCUGCAAGUUCCUCAUGUUGAUUUGAUCACAACUAUAGGAGACACCCUGUGGGUGUCUUUUCUUCACACAAAAAAUAAUAAAUUUUGGGCACUGAUAACCAUGUGCUCACAUUCUUACAUAUUUAUUUAUUUUUACAGGAAAAUGCGACACCAACAACUAACGAUGAACACAUUCAUUCACUUAUUUACAUUGGCAUUUUUCGUCACUGGGACAAUUUUAUUGUCAUGCAUGAUUUUGUUUAUGAGACUGUUCAGGCAUUUUCGAGUUUCUGUAAAGAUGAGUACUGCCAACCUUUGCUUGUUCUCUCGGACUAGGCCUACCGCAAGCUUACCUCGACUGAUUUCGGUGGCCCAAAGCGGCACUAGCUCGGAGACGACAUCAACAAGCUCCUGGAGACUUGGUUGGUGGUGAGGCGCCUAGGCGAUCUUGUGGAUGGCUUUGAAAUUCGAUGGCAUAGAAAGUGCAGAGGGAGAGGCGCGAGCAGUGGCGGCACCAAGGCGAUCUUGUGGGUGGCUUUGAAAUUCAAUGGGAUAGAAAGUGCAGAGGGAUAGGCGCGAGCAGUGGCGGUGUGCCUCCAGCAUCUCUCUCACACAUGAGCAUUUGUGGCUAACAGAUGGCAUGCCAGAGGAGAAGCGGGCGUUUGUCUGUUUUGAGAAUUACAAGGUUGCACAAUGGGCGUUUGUCUGUUUUGAGAAUUACAAGGUUGCACAAUAUCGGAUAUCGUUG